This 499-nucleotide ribosomal RNA is filed under the name uncultured bacterium. Its description in RNAcentral is "bacterial SSU rRNA". It matches the Rfam family "Bacterial small subunit ribosomal RNA", at positions 8 to 507 of the family's 1533-position model. The record is from RNAcentral.
AGAGUUUGAUCCUGGCUCAGGAUGAACGCUAGCGGGAGGCCUAACACAUGCAAGCCGAGCGGUAUUUCUUCUUCGGAAGAGAGAGAGCGGCGUACGGGUGCGGAACACGUGUGCAACCUGCCUUUAUCUGGGGGAUAGCCUUUCGAAAGGAAGAUUAAUACCCCAUAAUAUAUUUGAUGGCAUCAUUAGAUAUUGAAAACUCCGGUGGAUAGAGAUGGGCACGCGCAAGAUUAGAUAGUUGGUGGGGUAACGGCCCACCAAGUCGAUGAUCUUUAGGGGGCCUGAGAGGGUGAUCCCCCACACUGGUACUGAGACACGGACCAGACUCCUACGGGAGGCAGCAGUGAGGAAUAUUGGACAAUGGGUGAGAGCCUGAUCCAGCCAUCCCGCGUGAAGGAAUAAGGUCCUAUGGAUUGUAAACUUCUUUUCUACAGGGAUAAACCUAUUUACGUGUAAAUAGCUGAAGGUACUGUAGGAAUAAGCACCGGCUAACUCCGUG